Gavialis gangeticus (Gharial) is the source of this 1722-nucleotide long non-coding RNA. RefSeq lists it as uncharacterized. Lineage: Eukaryota; Metazoa; Chordata; Crocodylia; Gavialidae. The record is from RefSeq and is a predicted model, not a curated record. The transcript has 2 exons.
UCAUUGGUGUUGCCUUCUGGUGAAAUAACUUUUCAACAAUAAAAGUUAGGGGCUGCCAAAGCUUUUUGGAAAAAGGCACUUGCAGACUCCAGCCAGUGUGAAAUGGGCCCCCGGUGAGAUGGGUGCUGGGGCAGUCGGUGGUGGGAACGUGCCACCGGUUGUAACGGUUCGGACAGUGAGCCAGAAAUCAAUGUUGUGCAGGACAGAUAAGGGAGAAAAGCAGCAUCGAUUCCCCUCCCGUCCAGAGACGCCCUGGUCGUCUGCACCGUUCAGCCCCUGCGGCUGAGAGGGCCUGGAAGUGCGGCAUGGAGUAAACUUCGAGGGGGGUGGGAAAAAAAAAAAUCGCAAGUCUGCCGAGUCGUAAUUACAGCCGUGACAGAGGCAGCAAACUGCAGACUUCAAGGGACAACACCAGGGUUGCAAAGGAAAUGUUUAAUGUGGAGCAGCUACGCGCGGGCUAUUAGUGGAACGGGGAGAUGACUCGAGCGCUCUGGCUAAUGUACAGGACAUGUAAGUACAGGCGGAGCAGGGAAAAGCAAGCGCGUAAAGAUGCCAUCUCUGUCCUUAGCGGACCAGCACUGCGUGCAUUUUGACUCGGGCCUAAUUUGCCUUUGUGACGAAAACGAGCUGCAACCCUGUGGAGCCGAUGCAGCGAGGGGAGAGGGGACCCGGCGGCACGUUUGGUGGACGCGACACUAACUGCACCGUGGCGCAGGGAGAGGAAGAGCCCAGCUGGACGUGCACAAGCGGCUCAGCUCACACGCGACAGUCGUAGCUGUUCACGUCGCGUGCUUAUCCGGAGCACAUCUCCCUGCAAUGCGACGCAGGCAACAGGCAGUCCCUGCAGCCCCGGUCCCAGUCAGUUGGAGCAGGUUAAUAUUCCUCCCUAAAGCCACCUAUUUUAAUACACCCAUUGCCUUGUCUUUCUUUUCUCUUUUACUGUCAGUUGAGCAUAACGGUGACCUCAUUGCAGACUCCCAGCCCAGGGUAAUCUGGGAUGUAUCACAGGUCGUCCCCUGCAGUCAUUACUGCUGGAGAAGGGCUCUCUGCGCAGGGUGCCAAAGUCCAUACUUGGAGGCCAAGGUACGAGGAGCCUGAUUUCCCGAAACGUUCAGCACUUCGAAGUCCGGCUGGGUUGGAUGGGAACUGCGGGUGUUCGGCACCUCUGAAGCCAGACCGAGUCUGUGUCCCUGCCCCAACGGGGAUUUGCGGUCCUGACCUGACACGCGCACCCUGGGUAGACCACGUGUGUCUCAGCUGUGAUGUGGUAGUGGCGUUUGACCGGGCCUCUUAGUCUCCAUAGUAUUGUUUCACCUACCUGAAUGGAUCAGUGAAGUAUUUUUAAACAAGCAAAUAAUGAAGGACCCAGUUCUCGCCCCCUCCCGUGACUGCCCUUGGCUGAGUGUGUAGGAGGCCAUCAGGGCGAAGGACAAGGAGGAACGCAAAUCUGUAGUGAAGAAUAAAAAAGACAGCCAAAAAGCCAUAAUGAACGGCAUCUAAAUGAGGGUCUGUGAGCACGGCUUUUGUCCCGUUCCCCCAGCUCUACCAGCAGGCCGCGAAGGUUUCUGGUGGAGAGUUUAAUUUCCCUACAGAUGCAAGAGGCAUUCACUCCCCCUUUCUAAAAUUAUUCAGAUACCUUAUAAAUAUUGCAGCACAUUGCUUUAUUUAUAAGAGCCCGGCACUGAUUUAUAACCUUUAGUGACAAAUAAAUCCACUCGGCUC